RNAcentral lists this long non-coding RNA (6636 nucleotides) under Citrus sinensis (sweet orange). RNAcentral describes it as "long non-coding RNA (CSIN_LNC002239)". Lineage: Eukaryota; Viridiplantae; Streptophyta; Magnoliopsida; Sapindales; Rutaceae. The record is from RNAcentral.
UUGGACUUACAACAAGAUUAGUAUCCUUUCUAGCUGCACGAUACUCAUUUGUGAAUGUAGAAUCAUCACUAAACAAUAAAGUAAAGAACUGUUCCGCUGUGCAUGGGAAAACAUCCUGCAAAAUACAUUAAUGCAUUCUAUAAUGGUAAUAACACAACUUAAAAAUUCAUAGACCAUGAAAGAAGGAAAAAGAUGAUGCGUACAUUGUAUAUACCAACAAGAACCUCUUCUUUGAUAAACGGUUGAAGCUUUUCAGGUUUGGUGACUGUUUCUUCCGCAAUCUUAGCCUGCCUUCUACUACCUCUAAUGGAGCUACUAUGUGCACGCAACGCCGAUUCUGCCUUCUCCUAUACAGCAGCAAGCAGAUUGAAUUAACUUUUUUCUUCAUUAAAUCAUACUAGUCAGAGAAAAAGUUCAGCAAAAUACAUAUCCAAGAUCUGAUCCUAAUCCCAUUUCAAACGGGUUAGAUGUAUCUUGUCAGGGCAUAUGCCCAAAAUAAGUGUAGCAGCUCGGAUACCAAAAGUUUCAGCAAAACUGAAAAAACUAUCAAUUCCAACAAGGAAGACAACCAUCAAUGCCUGACACAACAGGAUAGAAAACUCCUUCACUGUUAGUAACAUUAAAGAGACUGACUUUAACUUCUAAAAUAGAACACAAUAGUUGAACUUUGGCCAUUCUAUGGUGGUAAUUAAAUGUGGGCGUCUUAAAAAUGUGUUGACAAAGCCAUGACUACUUAGCAGUUUAGAUUAAUUAAUAGAUGUGCUCAUAAUAUGUACAUAUUUUUUUUUAAUAUGUAUGUUUUAUUCUCAACAUUAGUGAAUGAACUCCAGUAAAGGGGUACAUUCUGCCACAUGAGAAGUGUGUGAGAUGUUUUAGUAGCAGCAAUAGAGAAAAAGAGCUAUAUAGACAACAGAGAGGAAAUAUAAUAUCUACAUUGUUUCUGUAUUAUAUUACUAAUAAACCAGAAGUAUUGUAUUACUAAAAACCCAGUAUAAGAGUUCUAUUUCGCUAAAUCAAGAACUCGGAAAGACAGCUCAUUGAUGAUACGACUCUUAGUAAAUACCAGACAAUGAAACCCCAUGCAUUCAUAUUUUAACUUCAACAAGUUGGAAAGAACUAUGUGAAUCUACUUAUUUCCAUAGUCAUUAUGGGGUUAGGAACCACUUGGCGAUUUGUGUCAGACCUCUUCACAAUUUUAAACGAUGACCAUUUUAUCCAUACGGUUGAUAACCAAGAUUAGAGUUGUAAAGGUAAAUAAUGAUAAAAGUUACAGACACAAUGAUUCAUGAAGCAAUACGAACGAACCUUCUUCUCAGCCUCUAACAUUUUAUGAUAGUUCUUUGCAAUACGUUGCAAUUGUCUCAAGGCAUGAUUCCUGUUCCAAAAUGAUGCAAAUUUAUAUCUGACCCUACCUGAAAAUGAAAGAGAAAAUAAAGGCCAAAAAGAAACCUCAACAACUCAUAUCAAACUGAAAAUGCAUCCAAAUCACACAUGAUGUUCCACUAUUCUGAAAAAACACAUUCAAUAACCUAACCAGAACACAAAAGUAAUAAUAAAACCCAUCAAGGAAAGCCAAUACACUGGAUAUUAGUUCGUACAAUAAUUAGAUGUUUUAAAUGGAAGUCCAUAUUCAAAAAUAUUACAAUACACUCCAGUCAUCAUAGAAGUGCAUGAUUUUCAACAAACAAGAAAUUGACCUAGUGUUUUACUCCGACAUGACAUUUGAAACACAAGCAUAACAGUAACCUUAAAAAGGGCAUAUUUCAGAGAAUACUCUAUAAAUUUCUAAGGUGAGAGCUGGUGUAUUUAAAUGUAACUUUUCAUUUAAAUCGAAAUAUCAAUCUGCACAUCAGACUCAGAAUUUUUUUUACAGAGCAACCACUGAAGCCCUAAGGGAAAGCAAUGAAAAAUAAUUAUUCAGAGGCAGCAUUAUGUAAUGCUAGCAUAUCAAGCAAGGAUAGUUCGAACUUAAGAAGACUGAAACAGCUUACAAACUUGCAUCAGGACACACAAAUACCACACCACAAUUAUUGAAAUCAAACACAUUCUUAUACAAACAAAACUAAUUAAAAAAGGAAGUAACAGGAAAGUUAGCUAAAUUCAUAAUUAGGGUGAACCUUACAUGCAAUCAAGAUUCUAACUGAGUGGGGCACUUUUUCAGAAUCUUCAUGCACUCAAGUCUACUAAGUGAAUCCUAUGAGCUUUCUUGUAAUUUGGCCAAGCAACCAAGAGGCCCUCUCUUUUUUCCUUCUUCCCCUGCAUAUUCAGUGUCCUUACCUUCUCAAUUUCGAGACCAUACAAUGACUUUAGAACUUGCUUGAUCUAAAUCUUUGAAGCAGGGGGCAUGGUUUUGAAAGCAAUUUCUUUGGUAUUUUCAAAUGAAGACGGGAUGAGAAGCUUCAAAGGGAAAUCGAUAAGCAUGUUUUCAUGGUUCUUCAUCGAUCAAAUACCUCGUUUGGUUGUCAAGAAAUUAUAUGAGUGGCAAUUUCUUUGGUAUUUUCAAAUAAAAAUUUCGCUGCAACUUUUGAUGGCGACAGGAGAUGAAGUGCAUAGAAGUUGUUUAGAGAAGUUUUUCAACAACACUACUUGUCAUUGAUUGUUGGCCACUGUAAAGCGCAAACAAAGAUGUAACCACCAAUUUUAUUAUCCUAAAUCUAAUCACAUGAGCCUAAUUAACAAAAAUAUGUGGUUUCCAAGAAAAAUUACACCUCUAGUUUAUUAGGAUUUGAGGAAAAUAUAAUUAGAGUUUAACAAAAUUAUGAUGAAUGUAAAGGCGAGUUUAAAAAGUAAAAAUUCUGUUUUUUCUUUUUCCUUUUUAUUAUAUUUUAAUGUCCAUAAUUGUAAUUUAAUUUAAGGUAUUUUAAUAAAAAAAUUAUUUUUAAAAGUAAAUUUAAUGAGUAAUUUGGUGGGUUCAAAUAGCCCCACCCUAAUUUAAUGCAUAUUUUGGAUAUUUUAAGGGGAAUAGGUAUAUCCCACACAAUUUCCCCGCCAUGAAGUGCCAAUAUUGUUCUCCAUCCUUUCUACAUAUAUAUCUUUUCCAGAUAAAUAUUUGCAGAAGUGAGGUGGGGAGGCCCUCCUAAAAUAUACUUAAGCUUCGAACAAUCAGGCGUUUCAGAUUUGAAAGUUGGAAAUCACCAGUUCAGCCAGAGAGGAAGGAAUCCUCGUUCCUUUCUCCUCUACUGGAUAUGAACCCCACAUCCUCACAUACUCUGCGGAUUACAAGUCGUCUGAGAUAGCCGAAUCUGUGCAAUCCCACUCGAACAGUGCUUUGCGAAUCUCCAGAUCCUGAAGCUCGAGUGAAUCAAAGUUGGCAGAGAAAGCCAUCCUCUGGGGAAACAUGCCAAUAUUAGAUUUUCCAGUGCUAAAUGUUCAAGAGAGGUCAGAUUGUGCAAGCCGUUGGGCAAAGCCUCUAGUUUCUCACAACAACUUAGACGUCGUUCCUCCUUUGGGGAAAGACAAAAAGAUGAUCACACUACCAAAUUGUUUACUCUUGAAGAUGGUGGAGCUUAUGCACUCACCAGGUAAACCUUUAUGAUUUUCACAGCUCCAAAAUAUAAUUCUUUCAAGAGAUAUGUUAACCGCAAGGUGCCGAAGUGUGGCAGGCAACUCGGUUUCUGAAAAAUGAGGAUGUGAUAGAUGGACAAUAUACAUACAUACAAGGCAAUAGUAGUUACAAAAUAUUAGUAAUCCACUUUUGUAAUAGCAUGUCUCAAAUUUGUGAUAGAACACCUAGUAUUUGAAAACUUACCUUCUAUUUACAUCGGAUCAAAACAAACUUAAUCUUCUCAGCUGGGAUUGCCGCUACGAUAAAGGAGAAAUCUAGUUAAAUUAUGAGGGGGGUAAAAAUGAAAAUCCCCAUUACACAGUGAAUAACUCCAUCAGCGCACAAGGUAAGAUGACGACACUAUCACCAUCACGAGGGACCUCGGGCUGUGUGUAUAUAUAUAUAUAUAUGGGUGUGUGUGUGUGCAUGUAUUAUACAUUCAAAAAUGGGGACUGCUACAACAUUAAUUACUGGAUCUGAUACAGUUGCACUACUAGUUACAAUCUGGAGUUACAGAUGGAGUGGACGAUUGGUUGUUAGUCUCGCCACCGGAAGUACAUAUCUUGAUAUAUGAACGUGCCGUUUCUAACAUCAGCUCAACUUCUUUCUUGUACUGGCAUAGAACAAAAGAAUUCAUUGCUUACUAAAUUCAUUCAUAUUUCAAAAAUUAUGGAGUUCAUUUUUCAUUGUAAUAAAACAAAGAUUAAAAGGAAAAUUGUACAAUCAGAGUACCAACCUUGUUAACAGCACCUGUCUUGAUUUUGAAUUGUAUGACACACCAUUUCUUAAAAUGGGCACCUGCAGAUACUGCAGAAACAGUAAAUUCCAAGCACUAGAAUUAAAAAAGAAAAGCACAGUUGGAAUUGCUCAAUAUUUUGACCCAAAUGUUGAAUGCAAUGCAACAGUAAGAUUCUAACAUCUUCGGCAUUAAUAUACAUGCUUCUGUGUGCUCAUAGGACUCCAUGACAAUUCUUGAUGCAAGCUUGCUUCAACCAUUAUUAGGGCAUGAAAAAUCAUCUCACCAAUUGGAAAAGAUAGUCAAAGAGAUGAACAUCAAACCAAAACUUACCCACUUUAAUAUCAAUAGCAGAGGAAUUUUCAGCAACGGUCUCCAAAUGCCAUCGACAAUGAAUCUGAUACAGCAGGACAAUUACAUUGCAUGAACAAAGUGGAAUAUUUCUCUUAUAGGUUACAACCCUCUAAGCAAGGAAAUACAACCAGAAAGUACGUUAUUCUAAAAUAUUUUGGAAAAUGCUGGUUCACCUAUCUUAGCGCAGAAACAAAGUAAUGAUGACCAUACAAAUUUUAUAUAUGUCAGACGUUCUACUUAUUUAUUUUUUGAACAUAAUAAAAUAAAACGAAAUAAUUUGUCUUGUUUAAUUCAAUUAACAUUAACAUCUAAUAAGAAAUGUGAACCGAAAGUAUGAUGUCCAAAUAGAAACAUAUUUCAUACCUCAAAGUAAGACCCGAAUGGAACGUCAUGUGCCUGUUGGACUGUCUCAAAAACCUAAAAGAAAAGACACAUGUUUAAUCCAAAAUUUACAAGAAAAAAUCAUUGACGUCAGAUUUUAACAAGCAAGGUACCAUUUGAAGAUAAUAAGACAGAAAUAAUAACAAAGAGAAUUUUUUAAAACUAUAGAUAAUAAAGAAGAAAAAACAAUAGCAAGCACAUUAUCAAUGUUGCCAAAAAUUUAAGGCAAUGAGACAGAUAGCCUUACAAAUAUUUUCUUAUCUGGUGAUAAAACUGCAUGCUGAUACUCCGUCAUGGCUGUGUCAGGUGGACACAUGGGACUGUUACAGAGAGAUCUAAAUGUGAUCUCUCUUACUUGACCAUCAUAUUCAUCUGCAGCAUGCCACUGUCCCAUCUGGAUAAAGCAUGAGAUAGUAAGCAAAUAUUUCAAUAUCAACCAACCGAUAUUCAGAAUCCAGAAAUAAAAUCUUCUUCUUAGAUGGAAAAGCACACGGAACUGGAAGGAUAAGUGAUCCAUAUGGAUAAUCAUCAGAAACAAAACUGCUUACCCGGACCCUUAUCAACCCCCAACCCUAAACAGAAGCUCUAUUUGGAUGGACAAGAGCAGGCCUUUUGAGGCAAUAUUUGCCCAUUGAACUAGCAAUUGGGCUAAUAUAAUCAUCUGAACUUCCCAAGUAGUCCAUACAGUGUACACAGGAUAAUUAGAACAAACAGAAGCAAUACUCAGUGCUAACCAAACAAGGUUCCAAGUCCUACAUCAGAAUACAUAACGUUGUUUCCUCCAUAAUUUGGUUUUUAAGGAACCGUUGUCCUAGACAUCAUGGAGAGCACUACCAGCUCAGCAUUAGUCCUAAUGCCUCUAAUAAGCUUAACUCUAGAAUGUGCAAAUCCUAACUGCCAACGAUAUAACAGAAAAAUGGGAAAUAUCCUUUCCAUACAAUCUUCUUUUCUAUAAUUUAACAUAUGUUUUAAUUAUCCUUGACAUUCCACUGGCUGGAAUGCCUAAACCAGGUAUGCAACAUAUAAACUUCCAUAUCCAAUUUAGGUACUUAUAUAAUCAGCACCAUGUUUAAGGUACUUUUGCAUCCUUUAAAGAUUUAGCUCGUAAUCCUUUUUAACAUAUCAACAUGGAUAUUCCUUAAAUCAUAAAUGCAUUACCAUGAGAAGCUCUUUUGUUCUUUUUCUUCAUGGUAAAGAAAAAUACAUUGAUCAAAUAUAGAGAAUACAAAAGGAAGAAACAAUUUUCUAGGGUCUAUGAUUUCAAAAAAUGGACUUGGACUUACAACAAGAUUAGUAUCCUUUCUAGCUGCACGAUACUCAUUUGUGAAUGUAGAAUCAUCACUAAACAAUAAAGUAAAGAACUGUUCCGCUGUGCAUGGGAAAACAUCCUGCAAAAUACAUUAAUGCAUUCUAUAAUGGUAAUAACACAACUAUAAAAUUCAUAGACCAUGAAAGAACAAAAAAGAUGAUGCAUACAUUGUAUAUACCAACAAGAACCUCUUCUUUGAUAAACGGUUGAAGCUUUUCAGGUUUGGUGACUGUUUCUUCCGCAAUCUUAGCCUGCCUUCUACUACCUCUAAUGGAGCUACUAUGUGCACGCAACGCCGAUUCUGCCUUCUCC